AUGAAUAACUCCAAAAUAUCCAUCUGUUCGUGGAAUGUAAGAGAGUGUGGGGAUGAAUCAAAAUGUGGUGAUGUAUUAUCUGAAUUAAUCGCUAUAAACCCUCACUGCGCUCUUUUACAAGAAUCAAAACUUAACCAGAUAGACGAUCGAAAAUUCAUCUACUUUCUGCCAUGAUCUCUAGACCAAAGAACAUUUCUUCCUGCUGAUGGAUCUGCAGGUGGCAUUAUCUCGCCAGCCAACUCUGGCCAUCUCAACGUUCUAUCCUAUAUGCAUCAUAACUUCGCCACUUCCCUCAAAGUUUCCUCUCUCGCUCACCCGUCAAACUUUGUCUUCACUAAUGUCUACGCUCCCUCCUCUCGCCCGCUUAAACAAGCCUUCCUCGACGAAUUCAAACAAAUUAAACAGGAUGAUCACACGCCCUGGCUAAUUGUUGGGGACUUCAACCUCCUUCGCUUCUCCCAUUAGAAAAAUAAUCCAAACUUUCAUCAACAAGAAGCCGAUGCCUUUAACGCCCUAAUAAACAACCUAGCCUUACAACUACCCCUCUUAGACCGCAAAUUUACUUGGACCAAUAAUAGACCCUCCCCUACACUUGAACGGCUAGACCGAGCUUUCAUCAAUCUAACAUGGAACUCCCACUUCCCAAACACAACUUUAUCUUCACUCACACGUAUCACCUCCGAUCACAUCCCAUUAGUCAUCCAAGUCCAAACCACUGUCCCUCGUCCCCGCCUUUUUUGA
This 741-nucleotide ribosomal RNA is filed under the name Triticum aestivum (bread wheat). RNAcentral describes it as "partial small subunit ribosomal RNA". The record is from RNAcentral. Lineage: Eukaryota; Viridiplantae; Streptophyta; Magnoliopsida; Poales; Poaceae.